AAGAGUUUACUGCACAGACCCUUUUAAAAAGUGAUAGCAGGGGUUUCUUCAUUCCAAAUAAAAUGGUAAGAAUAUUUUUCUCCAAAGUAAGUAGUUGAUUUGUUUUAAAAGUUCACAUUUCUUCCCUAUCCCACCAUGUCGUUUCCUUAGAAGGGUACUACAUACACUAUGGGGGAAUUUCCUCUUCCAAGAUUCUAUGCAGUUGAAAAAAAAUCUGGAGAAAAAUCAAAUAAAUUCAAGAAAUAUCCUAGCUGCUUUCUAUAGGCAGAUUCAAGGGAAAUUAAUUUCAACACAACCUAAGGAACUCUGACUCCUGCAUCUAUGACUGAAGCUAGUGGAAAUAAUGGCUCCGCAGUGCACGGAGAAAUAGCAAGCGAGUUCCUGUAUUCCUUUCUGGUUCAAGUAGUUCAGGAAAACUCUGUUAUACUGUUCUAGGCUCUAAUGAAGAAACGUUCCAUACUGGCACGUCAUUGGCCUUAUGUUAAAUGAAUCAACCUGAGGAUAACAGAUAGACAAGGACCCUCAAAAAUGAGCAUAACCUUUGGUCUCUGUUUUCAAAUUCUUAGCUCCAUCAAGCCCCAAACAACCCUCAUGAGUCAUUGUAACCAUGAGGACUGACAAAGGAUGUACUCUAUGGGAGUGUGCGUGCGUACU
RNAcentral lists this long non-coding RNA (654 nucleotides) under Bos taurus (domestic cattle). RNAcentral describes it as "long non-coding RNA NONBTAT017081". Lineage: Eukaryota; Metazoa; Chordata; Mammalia; Artiodactyla; Bovidae. The record is from RNAcentral.